GAUGAUAUAGCUCAAGUGGUAGAGUGUAUGCUUAGCAUGCAUGAGGUCUUGGGUUCAAUCCCCACUACCUUUA
Molecule: transfer RNA, 73 nt
Filed under: Camelus bactrianus (Bactrian camel)
Lineage: Eukaryota; Metazoa; Chordata; Mammalia; Artiodactyla; Camelidae
Also listed under: 2 other names
Rfam family: tRNA
About the family: Transfer RNA (tRNA) molecules are approximately 80 nucleotides in length. Their secondary structure includes four short double-helical elements and three loops (D, anti-codon, and T loops). Further hydrogen bonds mediate the characteristic L-shaped molecular structure. tRNAs have two regions of fundamental functional importance: the anti-codon, which is responsible for specific mRNA codon recognition, and the 3' end, to which the tRNAs corresponding amino acid is attached (by aminoacyl-tRNA synthetases). tRNAs cope with the degeneracy of the genetic code in two manners: having more than one tRNA (with a specific anti-codon) for a particular amino acid; and 'wobble' base-pairing, i.e. permitting non-standard base-pairing at the 3rd anti-codon position.
Source: Rfam by way of RNAcentral